UACGGGGGGGGUAAGCGUUGUUCGGAAUUACUGGGCGUAAAGGGCUCGUAGGCGGCCAACUAAGUCAGACGUGAAAUCCCUCAGCUUAACUGGGGAACUGCGUCUGAUACUGGAUGGCUUGGAUUCGGGAGAGGAAUGCGGAAUUCCAGGUGUAGCGGUGAAAUGCGUAGAUAUGACAUAGAACACCAAUUGCGAAGGCAGCUUACUACCCGAAUAUUGACACUGAGGCACGAAAGCGUGGGGAUCAAACAGG
Molecule: ribosomal RNA, 253 nt
Filed under: uncultured bacterium
Lineage: Bacteria
Description: partial 16S ribosomal RNA
Rfam family: Bacterial small subunit ribosomal RNA
Source: RNAcentral